CUUUGAAUCAAACCCCACAGAACAAACAUGUAAAUAAUGUUAAUUAGUUUCUGAAAUCAAAUUAUAAUUAAGAGAAAUCAGAAAAUGAAGGAAGAAAGAUGCAAGUGAUGAAUUUGGCCAAGACAAGUGUUUGACACUGUUUUCUUAAGAUGAAUUUGUCCCGCAUCGGUGCUAACGAUUUUUCGACAAUUAUCUCCCAAGAUACAAUGACCACGUCAAGCCAUAGGAGCACUCCAAAUGGCUUCGACCAAAGAACUCGAACGAAAUUCCCUCUCUAUCAUAACAAUGAUUUUGAUGCAAAAGAUAAUCACUUCUACAAAAUGUUUUAUGUAACUUAACAUGAAAUGAAUAAUAUGGAAUUAUGGAAUGAAUUGGAAUGACAAAUACACAUCCAAGGGGUCCUAUAUAUAGAAGAUGAAGGGUUGUGGAUGAAGGGACACACCCCAAAUCCAGUAUUUUUCAUGGAAAGUUGCAACACUUCAUUUCAGAAAGUUGCAACACUUCAUUUCAAACAUGUAUCAUUUCGAAAAGUUGUAACACUUCAUUCUUCCAACUUUGGACCGCAAUUUCUCAUUCAUCUGGAAUUGAUUUCGAGAUUUCAAAUAUACCACGACGAUCUACUUGAUAAAUAGAAUAAGUUGAUCUAUUUACUUUUAUAAUUUGACUAUCGGAUCAAGUCCGAACAUUCGACCGAAGUUGACACGAAGUCAUACCUUUUCAUUUUCCCAGUUUUAAACUUAACCAAUUUUCGGUUAAUUUUUGAACCAAUUCCAACAAUCCCCCACAUGAAUGAAAAUUCGAGUAUGCAAAUGUAAUGCUAUGAUGUGAUACAAGUAGAGAGAGUGGAAAGCCACUGCAUCGGGGAUAGUAGCUUCUGGCCUUGAACCUCCCGUAGUGAAAUACCAUCGAACUUACUCGGCUAAUUGGUGAAUGUGAUAUCUUGAACCAUUCAGCCUUUAGUGUAAGUCAAGACAAUGAUACUCACACAAAUGUUUUUCCUAAACCGAUCAUGGUUCUCAUGACUUGGUUCAUUUUGGCCAUGAACCCUUCUUGGUUCUGCGAGUGUUUAAAGAAUUCAAGCCUUGAAUAAUUCUCAUUGAAGCGGCCCCACUUCACACUCACAUAGGUGACCUCCUAUUAAGAGUAUUCUGUCCUACUCCACUUGACUUAAUCAAGAUAUAGGAACCAUUAAAAAAUUAUCUUAAUCUCUUGCAACUCUACAGAAAGCACUUUAAUGUCAUAGGAAUGAGUUAGGAAAUUAUUUUUCUUAGUGUUUCAUGGAAUCCUCAUAACUUAGUUGUCCCUUUGAACCAAGAUCUUUGGAUCUCUAGUCAACAAGGUAGGGUUACUAUUACAAGGACUCUAAUAUAGUAGGCUUUACCCCAUUCCCUUCGAUAUGUAGUAUUUUUGAUCUCUCUUAGUAAAUCUUUUUAAAGGUACCACAAGUUUACAUCAUUGAGAUCAACUGCUUAACGGUAUUAUAUCUAUAACUUAUACGUCUAGACUUACCAUUACUUGUGACUUAAUAUCUUAUCAAAUAUAACUAGCCAAUGAUCGAUUCAUUUGAUAGAUACAAAUUGUCGUCACCAAAAAAUCUUCUCAUGAAGCUAUAUGCCUCAUUAGCUUUAUCUAAAGCUUUAUCAAUUUUCAAACUCGGUUGGAGGAUUUCUAUCAAACACUACACUAGUCAAUCAUUUUUACUAGUGGAUUUCAAAAUCAUGGGUAUUUAAUAUUAUCAUUGAAAUAUUACCAUGCAUUUGAAUUUUAUGAAUAUUCUUCAUAUAUUCCAAUUGUUCUUGCAUGUCUAAACAAACGUCAUAAUCGGCUUUACAACCCAUUUAAUCCACUUUAGACUUAGUGUAUAUCAUCCUUAUAAUUAGUAUAUGGGUUUUCUAUCUUUCCACCUUCAUAUGUAUCAUUAUAUGAUUAUAAGAUAGAAGCAAACGUAACUGUUAAACUGAGUUACCCCCACAAUUUCUCAAUUAGGAAUACAUAUGCAAUCUAGUAAUGUUGCAUUCACAAGUUUUGAACUUUCCAUUUCAAGUUCACAAGCAUUAAGUUUAACCCCACACAUUCUUAGAUUAUACUUGAACAUAGAGUUCAUCAACUCUUUCAUAGUUCAAUUCAUUUAUCUCUUAGAUAAUAUCUGUAUCGAGUAUUUCGUGAAAGUCUAAGUACUUUCAAAAUAUUGGUCGUCAACUUGCAUAUAACGUACUUCAAUCUAAUUAAUUUUGAUCAUCCAAAUUAAAUAAAGGCCAUCACAUAGACCAACAAUGCUUUCCAAGCAUAUACCAACUUAAUUGGCUUCAUGAUUGAAGUCAAAUUCAGCAAUAAAGAGGGUUAAGCAUUUCAACUUCUUCAAAUAGAUGCAACUUAUCACAUUUGUGACAUUUCACAUGACAGUUUCUUUUCA
Molecule: long non-coding RNA, 2413 nt
Filed under: Olea europaea subsp. europaea
Lineage: Eukaryota; Viridiplantae; Streptophyta; Magnoliopsida; Lamiales; Oleaceae
Source: RNAcentral